RNAcentral lists this ribosomal RNA (700 nucleotides) under uncultured bacterium. RNAcentral describes it as "bacterial SSU rRNA". It matches the Rfam family "Bacterial small subunit ribosomal RNA", at positions 59 to 759 of the family's 1533-position model. The record is from RNAcentral.
GAGUCGAGCGAGAACCCGCAAGGGGGACAGCGGCAAAAGGGGUAGUAAGGCGUAGGUAACGUACCCUCGGGACGGGGAUAGCCACGGGAAACUGUGGGUAAUACCCGAUGACCUCAUCGGACGUGACUGUCUGGUGAGCAAAGGUGAGAUUCCACCCGGGGAGCGGCUUACGUGGUAUUAGCUAGUUGGUGAGGUAACGGCUCACCAAGGCGAAGAUGCCUAGGGGGUGUGAGAGCACGACCCCCACCAUUGGGACUGAGACACUGCCCAGACACCUACGGGUGGCUGCAGUCGAGAAUCUUCGGCAAUGGGCGAAAGCCUGACCGAGCGACGCCGCGUGCGGGAUGAAGGCCUUCGGGUUGUAAACCGCUGUCAGAGGGGAUGAACUGCGGAGAGGUACUCCUCUCCGUUUGACAGAGCCUCAGAGGAAGCACGGGCUAAGUAUGUGCCAGCAGCCGCGGUAAUACAUACUGUGCGAACGUUAUUCGGAAUCACUGGGCUUAAAGGGUGCGUAGGCGGCUUGCUAAGUAGGGUGUGAAAUCCCCCAGCUCAACUGGGGAACUGCGCUCUAAACUGGCGAGCUGGAGUGAGAUAGGGGUGCAUGGAACUUCCAGUGGAGCGGUGAAAUGUGUUGAUAUUGGAAGGAACGCCGGAGGCGAAAGCGAUGCACUGGAUCUCAACUGACGCUGAGGCACGAAAG